This 1122-nucleotide ribosomal RNA is filed under the name Lactiplantibacillus plantarum. RNAcentral describes it as "bacterial SSU rRNA". It matches the Rfam family "Bacterial small subunit ribosomal RNA", at positions 65 to 1157 of the family's 1533-position model. Lineage: Bacteria; Bacillati; Bacillota; Bacilli; Lactobacillales; Lactobacillaceae. The record is from RNAcentral.
AACUCUGGUAUUGAUUGGUGCUUGCAUCAUGAUUUACAUUUGAGUGAGUGGCGAACUGGUGAGUAACACGUGGGAAACCUGCCCAGAAGCGGGGGAUAACACCUGGAAACAGAUGCUAAUACCGCAUAACAACUUGGACCGCAUGGUCCGAGCUUGAAAGAUGGCUUCGGCUAUCACUUUUGGAUGGUCCCGCGGCGUAUUAGCUAGAUGGUGGGGUAACGGCUCACCAUGGCAAUGAUACGUAGCCGACCUGAGAGGGUAAUCGGCCACAUUGGGACUGAGACACGGCCCAAACUCCUACGGGAGGCAGCAGUAGGGAAUCUUCCACAAUGGACGAAAGUCUGAUGGAGCAACGCCGCGUGAGUGAAGAAGGGUUUCGGCUCGUAAAACUCUGUUGUUAAAGAAGAACAUAUCUGAGAGUAACUGUUCAGGUAUUGACGGUAUUUAACCAGAAAGCCACGGCUAACUACGUGCCAGCAGCCGCGGUAAUACGUAGGUGGCAAGCGUUGUCCGGAUUUAUUGGGCGUAAAGCGAGCGCAGGCGGUUUUUUAAGUCUGAUGUGAAAGCCUUCGGCUCAACCGAAGAAGUGCAUCGGAAACUGGGAAACUUGAGUGCAGAAGAGGACAGUGGAACUCCAUGUGUAGCGGUGAAAUGCGUAGAUAUAUGGAAGAACACCAGUGGCGAAGGCGGCUGUCUGGUCUGUAACUGACGCUGAGGCUCGAAAGUAUGGGUAGCAAACAGGAUUAGAUACCCUGGUAGUCCAUACCGUAAACGAUGAAUGCUAAGUGUUGGAGGGUUUCCGCCCUUCAGUGCUGCAGCUAACGCAUUAAGCAUUCCGCCUGGGGAGUACGGCCGCAAGGCUGAAACUCAAAGGAAUUGACGGGGGCCCGCACAAGCGGUGGAGCAUGUGGUUUAAUUCGAAGCUACGCGAAGAACCUUACCAGGUCUUGACAUACUAUGCAAAUCUAAGAGAUUAGACGUUCCCUUCGGGGACAUGGAUACAGGUGGUGCAUGGUUGUCGUCAGCUCGUGUCGUGAGAUGUUGGGUUAAGUCCCGCAACGAGCGCAACCCUUAUUAUCAGUUGCCAGCAUUAAGUUGGGCACUCUGGUGAGACUGCCGUGA